AUGGACGGGUCAUGGCCCACUCACUGUCGACCUCCUCUUCCCCCACAGGUUUCAGCGGGCACAGCCGGGAGGCCUCUGCGUCCAGGCACAAACCGCGCAGAAGCCGGGAUGGCUCCCCUCGCAGUCCCGGCAGAGAAACAGGAAACCGAGGGCGGAAGUUCAAGCCACGAGCGGCCCCAGCCGGAGAGAGAGGCCACGACAAGCCCGAGCCCAGCGGAGCACGACGCCCCCAUGAGCGCACAGGAGGUUCUGUUCCCAGCCCGAGGCGCCUGGAGGAGCCAAAGCACCGGCCUAGAUCGCCAGGGAGGACUAGCGGCCCGGAACGCCGAGUUGACGACCUGGAGGAGGGACCCACCUCCCCAAAGCGCCGCCGACGCCUCUCCCCAGAAGCCUGGGUCUCCGUCCCGUGCCCGCUGUCGCGAGUCGUCAACCACCUGGGCGGGCUGGAGGUGGCCCUGGGCGAGCUUUGGGCCCCGGGGGGCGCCUUCCUCCCGGGGCCCGCCGGCGGCACGCAGCCCAGCCCCUCGCAGCGCGCCUGGCUCGCCUGGCAGCUGGCGCACGCCGGGGCCGCCCUGCACUGGGCGCUGGCCACGCUCGACAACCUGCUGGCUGCGGGGCCCUGGCCCGCGGGUCAGCCGCCCUCUGCGCCCGCUCCUGGGCGGCCUCAGGUGCUCACGGGAGCCAGCACCGUCGCCUUGGAAAAGCUCGAACCCUCUGCCCCAGAGGCGAUCCCGACUCUGCACUGCAAACUCUACGGCGCCCUGCAGGGCGGCGGCCUCCUGCGUUCGAAUGCCAGGAGCUCCCUGGCAGCAGCAGAGCAGAAAGAAGCAUGGCCCCGCCCCAGUUCGGCGCCCGGCAAUCUCCCUCCCGCCCGCUCGAGGAGAUAGAUGGCUGCCUGGCUCCGAAAGUCUGGCUCUUGUUCCGGGCAUCCAAAGGAAGACACGGGUUUUCCUUCUGGGGGCUCGCAACAUCUGGGACUUUGACGACUCGGGACCUCUCUCCCAUUGA
Molecule: long non-coding RNA, 1008 nt
Filed under: Piliocolobus tephrosceles (Ugandan red Colobus)
Lineage: Eukaryota; Metazoa; Chordata; Mammalia; Primates; Cercopithecidae
Description: lncRNA (ENSPTEG00000033981.1)
Source: RNAcentral